CAACUUUCAACAACGGAUCUCUUGGCUCUCGCAUCGAUGAAGAACGCAGCGAAAUGCGAUACGUAAUGUGAAUUGCAGAAUUCAGUGAAUCAUCGAAUCUUUGAACGCACCUUGCGCCCCUUGGCAUUCCGAGGGGCACACCCGUUUGAGU
Molecule: ribosomal RNA, 151 nt
Filed under: uncultured fungus
Lineage: Eukaryota; Fungi
Description: 5.8S ribosomal RNA
Rfam family: 5.8S ribosomal RNA
About the family: 5.8S ribosomal RNA (5.8S rRNA) is a component of the large subunit of the eukaryotic ribosome.
Source: RNAcentral